AUAUUUAUAGUAUAAUAUUAUUACAUUAGUUUUUCAAGCUAAAGAUAUGGUUACCAUUAAAUAUU
Molecule: transfer RNA, 65 nt
Filed under: Glycera tridactyla
Lineage: Eukaryota; Metazoa; Annelida; Polychaeta; Phyllodocida; Glyceridae
Description: tRNA-Glu
Rfam family: tRNA
About the family: Transfer RNA (tRNA) molecules are approximately 80 nucleotides in length. Their secondary structure includes four short double-helical elements and three loops (D, anti-codon, and T loops).
Source: RNAcentral